RNAcentral lists this ribosomal RNA (496 nucleotides) under uncultured bacterium. RNAcentral's name for it is "partial 16S ribosomal RNA". It matches the Rfam family "Bacterial small subunit ribosomal RNA", at positions 30 to 523 of the family's 1533-position model. The record is from RNAcentral.
UUGAACGCUGGCGGCAGGCCUAACACAUGCAAGUCGAGCGCGAAAGGUUUUCGGACUGAGUAAAGCGGCGGACGGGUGAGUAACGCGUGGGAAUCUGCCCAGUAGUGGGGGACAACAGUCGGAAACGACUGCUAAUACCGCAUACGCCCUACGGGGGAAAGGGGGGGAUCUUCGGACCUCUCGCUAUUGGAUGAGCCCGCGUCGGAUUAGCUAGUUGGUAGGGUACAGGCUUACCAAGGCUACGAUCCGUAACUGGUCUGAGAGGAUGAUCAGUCACACUGGAACUGAGACACGGUGCAGACUCCUACUGGAGGCAGCAGUGGGGAAUAUUGGGCAAUGGGGGCAACCCUGAUUCAGCCAUGCCGCGUGUGUGAAGAAGGCCUUAGGGUUGUAAAGCACUUUCAGUGGGGAGAAAGGUUUGUCACCUAAUACGUGAUGAAAUUGAUGUUACCCACAGAAGAAGCACCGGCUAACUCCGUGCCAGCAGCCGCAGUAA